GAGUUUGAUCCUGGCUCAGGACGAACGCUGGCGGCGUGCUUAACACAUGCAAGUCGAACGGAAAGGCUCCUGCUUGCAGGGGUACUCGAGUGGCGAACGGGUGAGUAACACGUGGGUGAUCUGCCUUGUACUCUGGGAUAAGCUUGGGAAACUGGGUCUAAUACCGGAUAAUAGCCGCCUUUAGUGUGGUGGUUGGAAAGUUUUUUCGGUGCAAGAUGAGCUCGCGGCCUAUCAGCUUGUUGGUGGGGUAAUGGCCUACCAAGGCGUCGACGGGUAGCCGGCCUGAGAGGGUGUACGGCCACAUUGGGACUGAGAUACGGCCCAGACUCCUACGGGAGGCAGCAGUGGGGAAUAUUGCACAAUGGGCGGAAGCCUGAUGCAGCGACGCCGCGUGGGGGAUGACGGCCUUCGGGUUGUAAACUCCUUUCGACAGGGACGAAGCUUUUUGUGACGGUACCUGUAUAAGAAGCACCGGCUAACUACGUGCCAGCAGCCGCGGUAAUACGUAGGGUGCGAGCGUUGUCCGGAAUUACUGGGCGUAAAGAGCUCGUAGGUGGUUUGUCGCGUCGUCUGUGAAAUCCGGGGGCUUAACUCCGGGCGUGCAGGCGAUACGGGCAUAACUUGAGUGCUGUAGGGGAGACUGGAAUUCCUGGUGUAGCGGUGAAAUGCGCAGAUAUCAGGAGGAACACCGAUGGCGAAGGCAGGUCUCUGGGCAGUAACUGACGCUGAGGAGCGAAAGCAUGGGUAGCGAACAGGAUUAGAUACCCUGGUAGUCCAUGCCGUAAACGGUGGGCGCUAGGUGUAGGGGGCUUCCACGUCUUCUGUGCCGUAGCUAACGCAUUAAGCGCCCCGCCUGGGGAGUACGGCCGCAAGGCUAAAACUCAAAGGAAUUGACGG
RNAcentral lists this ribosomal RNA (897 nucleotides) under uncultured Corynebacterium sp. Its description in RNAcentral is "bacterial SSU rRNA". It matches the Rfam family "Bacterial small subunit ribosomal RNA", at positions 9 to 916 of the family's 1533-position model. The record is from RNAcentral. Lineage: Bacteria; Bacillati; Actinomycetota; Actinomycetes; Mycobacteriales; Corynebacteriaceae.